UACGGAGGAUGCAAGCGUUAUCCGGAAUGAUUGGGCGUAAAGCGUCCGCAGGUGGCUGUGUAAGUCUGCUGUUAAAUAGUGAGGCUCAACCUCAUAAAGGCAGUGGAAACUACACGGCUAGAGUGCGUUCGGGGCAGAGGGAAUUCCUGGUGUAGCGGUGAAAUGCGUAGAGAUCAGGAAGAACACCGGUGGCGAAAGCGCUCUGCUAGGCCGCAUCUGACACUGAGGGACGAAAGCUAGGGGAGCGAAUGGG
RNAcentral lists this ribosomal RNA (253 nucleotides) under uncultured bacterium. RNAcentral's name for it is "partial 16S ribosomal RNA". It matches the Rfam family "Bacterial small subunit ribosomal RNA", at positions 524 to 776 of the family's 1533-position model. The record is from RNAcentral.